CCGGAACAGCCUACCAUGCAGAGCUAGCUGGGAGAGCGGGGGCUGCCAGGCCGUGUCCCCCACGCGUCCCUGCCUCCCGCUUGACUCGCCGCAAGUGGAGAAGGACCGGACCUCGCGAAUUCAGCACGCAUUGGUUCAACCCCUAAAAUGUGCCUAGACCCCUAACUGUGUACAAGCCUGAACCAGAGCGACCCUGACUUCCUGGAGCUGACUCUGAGUGGGAGAAACCAUCCGCAAACUCAAACCCCAGGUCAUUUCAGACAGUGUCAAGGGCGAUGGAGAAGAUGAACCAGGUGAAGAGAAGGUGAGGGCAGAGAUUACUGCUUUUACAUACAUAGCCAGAAAGUGACAGGUGGGACUUGAGUGAGGAGCAGCAGUGAGUCUUGUUAAGGUCUAAGAAAGAGCAACUCAGCAACACAAGUGCAGGGGCCUUGACAGGGGACCACCCGACAUGCCAUGCGUUGGAGAAGUGCAAAAAACGGAGCCCAGGCCCAGCGAGGUGGCCCACGCCUGUAAUCCCAGCCAGGAGGGUAGACAGGUGGAUCAUGAGUUCAAAGCCAGCCUUAGCAAUUUAUCGAGGCCCUAAGCAACUGAGACCCUGUCUCUAAAUAAAAUACAAAAUAUCAGGGGAUAUGGACCCCGAGUUCAAUCCCCAGUACCAAAAAAAGGGGGGGGGUGGAAUGGAACAAGGGGAAAAUGGUGGGGAGUGAAGUGAGAGAAGUGGGCAGAGCCAGAGCAGGGAGGCCGGUGCUCAGAACUGGGUGACUUUUCUUCUGCUUCUGUUGGUUCCUCAUCCGUGGAGAACCGACUACAGGCUAGUAAGGAUUUUGCAAAUGUGUUUAUUCCACAGAUAUCAGGGAACUGGACACUGGGGAUGCAGGAAGGAAUGAGAGGACAUUGGCUUGGAAGGGUCAAAUGUGUGUAGUUCAACCAGAUCCAUGUUAGCAAAAGCCCAAGGAAAUGCCCAGCUUGUAUACCUGUAAUCCCGGUGGCUCCAGAGGCUGAGAGAAU
Molecule: long non-coding RNA, 1011 nt
Filed under: Marmota monax (woodchuck)
Lineage: Eukaryota; Metazoa; Chordata; Mammalia; Rodentia; Sciuridae
Source: RNAcentral